Molecule: small nucleolar RNA, 217 nt
Filed under: Sus scrofa (pig)
Lineage: Eukaryota; Metazoa; Chordata; Mammalia; Artiodactyla; Suidae
Description: ACEA small nucleolar RNA U3 (ENSSSCG00050043802.1)
Rfam family: Small nucleolar RNA U3
About the family: Small nucleolar RNAs (snoRNAs) are involved in the processing and modification of rRNA in the nucleolus.
Source: RNAcentral
AAGACUAUACUUUCAGGGAUCAUUUCUAUAGUCUGUGACUGGAGAAGUUUCUCUGAACGUGUAGAGCACCCGAAACCACGAGGAGGAGACGCAGUGUUCUCUCCUGAGCGUGAAGCCGGCAUUUGGUGUUGCCUGUGCAGCUGCCACUUGCCCUUGAUGAUCGUUCUCCUCUCUCUGGUUGAGAGAGGCAGAGGGAGAGAACACCGUCUGAGUGGUU